GACAGAGGGUGCAAACGUUGCUCGGAAUUACUGGGCGUAAAGCGCGUGUAGGUGGAUUGGUGUGUCAGAUGUGAAAGCCCUGGGCUCAACCCAGGAACUGCACCUGAAACUACCAGUCUUGAGUGGUGGAGAGGGAAGUGGAAUUCCUGGUGUAGAGGUGAAAUGCGUAGAUAUGCGGAGGAACACCGAUGGCGAAGGCAAUCCCCUGGGCCUGCACUGACGCUCAUGCACGAAAGCGUGGGGAGCAAACAGG
RNAcentral lists this ribosomal RNA (253 nucleotides) under uncultured bacterium. RNAcentral's name for it is "partial 16S ribosomal RNA". It matches the Rfam family "Bacterial small subunit ribosomal RNA", at positions 524 to 776 of the family's 1533-position model. The record is from RNAcentral.